RNAcentral lists this long non-coding RNA (656 nucleotides) under Nicotiana benthamiana. RNAcentral describes it as "long non-coding RNA (NBEN_LNC008232)". The record is from RNAcentral. Lineage: Eukaryota; Viridiplantae; Streptophyta; Magnoliopsida; Solanales; Solanaceae.
UCAGAAAUAGAUGAGUUUUCUCUCUCUCUUCUCCAUCUCCGAUUCUCCAUGUUUACAUAGUAUCAGAGCGUGGUUCGCCUUCUCGGAGGUAUCCUUUCUCUUCUCGGUUCUUCCUGUUCAGUUUUAUUGAAUUAUUGGUGGUGACUCUGGAUUUUCCGAUUUGUUGGUGGUGAUUCUGGAUUUUUUCGAUUUGUUGGUGGAAUCGGAGAUGCUUUCAGUUUUUUGUGGAUUGUUGUUGCUUCUUCAAGCGUGGUGUUUAGGAUGAACUUCCGACACCUUUCGUGCUUGAUUCCGACGGUUUCAGAGGCAUUGAAUUUACAUUGAACAAAGCUAGUGUUUUCUCUGAAUUUUUGAAGGUCGUUCUUCUCCGAUAGCGUAAAAGUCCGGUAACCCUAUUCUCACUCUCGUUAAGAGCUUGCAUGUGAUUUUUUUGCUGGAAAAUCUGUUAUAUCGUGUAGUUCAGAGAUUUGAAUCAAUUUCUUCUCAUCAUUGUUGUUCUGUUUCUGAUGACAAAUAUGAACCCUAUUAAUCCCUCACCUAUUGACCUUACAAGACCUCUCUUUGUUUACUAUUAUGAUGUUCCUGGUGUUUCCCUUAUUCCUAUUCCCAUUCCGGAUAGUGGUUAUGGGGGUUGGAAGAGGAAGAUGAUAGUUGCC